RNAcentral lists this ribosomal RNA (497 nucleotides) under uncultured bacterium. Its description in RNAcentral is "partial 16S ribosomal RNA". It matches the Rfam family "Bacterial small subunit ribosomal RNA", at positions 28 to 507 of the family's 1533-position model. The record is from RNAcentral.
GACGAACGCUGGCGGCGUGCCUAAUACAUGCAAGUAGAACGCUGAAGAGAGGAGCUUGCUCUUCUUGGAUGAGUUGCGAACGGGUGAGUAACGCGUAGGUAACCUGCCUUGUAGCGGGGGAUAACUAUUGGAAACGAUAGCUAAUACCGCAUAACAAUGGAUGACACAUGUCAUUUAUUUGAAAGGGGCAAUUGCUCCACUACAAGAUGGACCUGCGUUGUAUUAGCUAGUAGGUGAGGUAACGGCUCACCUAGGCGACGAUACAUAGCCGACCUGAGAGGGUGAUCGGCCACACUGGGACUGAGACACGGCCCAGACUCCUACGGGAGGCAGCAGUAGGGAAACUUCGGCAAUGGGGGCAACCCUGACCGAGCAACGCCGCGUGAGUGAAGAAGGUUUUCGGAUCGUAAAGCUCUGUUGUAAGUCAAGAACGAGUGUGAGAGUGGAAAGUUCACACUGUGACGGUAGCUUACCAGAAAGGGACGGCUAACUACGUG